GACGAACGCUGGCGGCGUGCUUAACACAUGCAAGUCGAACGCCCCCUUCGGGGGGAGUGGCAGACGGGUGCGUAACGCGUGGGAAUAUACCUUUUAGUUCGGAAUAACUCAGGGAAACUUGUGCUAAUACCGGAUACGCCCGAGAGGGGAAAGAUUUAUCGCUAAAAGAUUAGCCCGCGUCUGAUUAGCUAGUUGGUGAGGUAAUGGCUCACCAAGGCGACGAUCAGUAGUUGGUCUAAGAGGAUGAUCAGCCACGCUGGGACUGAGACACGGCCCAGACUCCUACGGGAGGCAGCAGUGGGGAAUAUUGGACAAUGGGCGCAAGCCUGAUCCAGCCAUGCCGCGUGAGUGAAGAAGGCCUUAGGGUUGUAGAGCUCUUUUGUGUGGGAAGAUAAUGACUGUACCACAAGAAUAAGCCCCGGCUAACUUCGUGCCAGCCGCCGCCGUAA
This 449-nucleotide ribosomal RNA is filed under the name uncultured bacterium. Its description in RNAcentral is "partial 16S ribosomal RNA". It matches the Rfam family "Bacterial small subunit ribosomal RNA", at positions 28 to 523 of the family's 1533-position model. The record is from RNAcentral.